This 69-nucleotide transfer RNA is filed under the name Alaysia spiralis. RNAcentral's name for it is "tRNA-Gln". It matches the Rfam family "tRNA". Rfam says of the family: Transfer RNA (tRNA) molecules are approximately 80 nucleotides in length. Lineage: Eukaryota; Metazoa; Annelida; Polychaeta; Sabellida; Siboglinidae. The record is from RNAcentral.
UGUAAAAUAGUGUAUGGAGCACGAAAGUCUUUGAUCCUUUAAGCCUUGGUUCAAUUCCAUAAUUUACAA